CCUACGGGAGGCAGCAGUGGGGAAUCUUGCGCAAUGGGCGAAAGCCUGACGCAGCCAUGCCGCGUGAAUGAUGAAGGUCUUAGGAUUGUAAAAUUCUUUCACCGGGGACGAUAAUGACGGUACCCGGAGAAGAAGCCCCGGCUAACUUCGUGCCAGCAGCCGCGGUAAUACGAAGGGGGCUAGCGUUGCUCGGAAUUACUGGGCGUAAAGGGAGCGUAGGCGGAUAGUUUAGUCAGAGGUGAAAGCCCAGGGCUCAACCUUGGAAUUGCCUUUGAUACUGGCUAUCUUGAGUGUGGGAGAGGUUAGCGGAACUCCGAGUGUAGAGGUGAAAUUCGUAGAUAUUCGGAAGAACACCAGUGGCGAAGGCGGCUAACUGGCCCAUUACUGACGCUGAGGCUCGAAAGCGUGGGGAGCAAACAGGAUUAGAUACCCUGGUAGUCCACGCCGUAAACGAUGAGUGCUAGUUGUCGGCAUGCAUGCAUGUCGGUGACGCAGCUAACGCAUUAAGCACUCCGCCUGGGGGAGGUACGGUCGCAGAUUAAAACUUAAAAGUAAAGUAGACG
Molecule: ribosomal RNA, 563 nt
Filed under: uncultured bacterium
Lineage: Bacteria
Description: bacterial SSU rRNA
Rfam family: Bacterial small subunit ribosomal RNA
Source: RNAcentral